RNAcentral lists this ribosomal RNA (486 nucleotides) under uncultured bacterium. Its description in RNAcentral is "partial 16S ribosomal RNA". It matches the Rfam family "Bacterial small subunit ribosomal RNA", at positions 30 to 507 of the family's 1533-position model. The record is from RNAcentral.
AUUGAACGCUGGCGGCAUGCCUUACACAUGCAAGUCGAACGGCAGCACGGGUGCUUGCACCUGGUGGCGAGUGGCGAACGGGUGAGUAAUACAUCGGAACAUGUCCUGUAGUGGGGGAUAGCCCGGCGAAAGCCGGAUUAAUACCGCAUACGAUCUACGGAUGAAAGCGGGGGACCUUCGGGCCUCGCGCUAUAGGGUUGGCCGAUAGCUGAUUAGCUAGUUGGUGGGGUAAAGGCCUACCAAGGCGACGAUCAGUAGCUGGUCUGAGAGGACGACCAGCCACCCUGGGACUGAGACACGGCCCAGACUCCUACGGGAGGCAGCAGUGGGGAAUUUUGGACAAUGGGCGAAAGCCUGAUCCAGCAAUGCCGCGUGUGUGAAGAAGGCCUUCGGGUUGUAAAGCACUUUUGUCCGGAAAGAAAUCCUUGGCUCUAAUACAGUCGGGGGAUGACGGUACCGGAAGAAUAAGCACCGGCUAACUACGUG